Solanum stenotomum is the source of this 2267-nucleotide RNA transcript. It is a transcript of the gene named squamosa promoter-binding-like protein 6, with no coding region annotated. Lineage: Eukaryota; Viridiplantae; Streptophyta; Magnoliopsida; Solanales; Solanaceae. The transcript has 6 exons. The record is from RefSeq and is a predicted model, not a curated record.
AAGUGGAAAUUAUGUUGACUUAAAUGUAUUUGGUUUACCAGUGCUUCUCUUCUCUCCAAGAAUAAAAGUGGCAAAGCACCAUUGCACCUGUUGUAAGUUCUAACUUUUUAGACUCUUCUUCUUGAAUUUCAGUUGGAUUUGGCUAGUGGUGAAGAAUUCAUUAUAAAUUUGCACUUGUUAUAGUUUUGAGAAACUUUUGUUUCUGGAUGGAACCUUUGAGCUAUGCUUUGGAAGGGAGAGGCCUUAUUUUUCCUGAUAAUGUUGAAUUGUCUGUCGACACAGUUUCGAGAAGUAGAAGUAUUGUAAAGGAAUGGAAUUUGAACCCUUUUUGUGAUGUUGAUAAAAGCAUUUGUGGUUUUAGUCAAGAAGUAACUGAAAGCACAGAGUUCCUGGGAUCAGGUAUUGCUGAUAUUUUGAAGAAAUCAGCAGCCAGUAACCCGUGUCCCGGGGUUUUAAGUGGUGAAAUGAGUGAUGGUUGUGGUAAAAUGCUAUCGUCAACUUCUAUGUUUAAUACAUUUGAACCGAUUCCUGGAGAAGUUGGACUUGGUGCCAUGUUUAACCAGAGGGCUACUAAAUCUAACAAUCCGAUGUCAUCAUUGAUUGAUUUGAAAUUGGAGGAGUUGACUGAUCAUGGAGAAUUAAGGACUAGUCAAUCUUCGAAAGAAAGUUCGAUACUUUCUUCUCCAGAAUCUUCAUUGGCAGCUGGAAAAGCCCAAACAAAGAGAUUGCAUUCUCAGUUUUCUAUCUCUCAGGUUCGUGGUCAGAAGGAGGUGGAGUCGACGACUGUUUAUAGGGAAAUUAAGAGUAAUCAGUCUUUAAAGAGAAACUCGGCUUUGUCUUCAGUCAAUUCGUCACUGCAGGGAAAAAGACUACGUACUACGAAUUUUCAUUCCGAGAUUCCUGUCUGCCAGGUUCAUGGUUGUAACAAGGACCUGAGCUCCUCAAAAGACUAUCACAAGAGACACAAAGUAUGCAAUGAACACUCAAAAACUGCUAUAGUCAUAGUUAAUGGGAUUGAGCAAAGGUUUUGUCAGCAGUGUAGCAGGUUUCACUUGCUAGCAGAAUUUGAUGAAGGUAAACGCAGCUGUCGCAAACGUCUUGCAGGCCAUAAUGAGCGGCGGAGAAAGCCUCAAUUCGAUACUCACUGGGGUUCAAGAUUUUUGGAUAUGACUUCCCAAAGGAGAGUACCAUUUCUUUUCCCCGAAAUAUUUCCCGGUAGUUUCUUUUAUCAAGAAAAUUAUGAAGAUAAUAACAACAGCAAGCACCUUAAAUUAGAACAUAAGCCAUUCGGCAUCUCUCAAUUGGCUAUGUCAGUAAAAAAUGAGCAAUUCCCGGCGAAAAGCAUCCAGCAUCAUUACGGAGUGGGAAAACAAGAUCCGUCCAAAGUUCUCACUGGUGGGGCAACAUUGUCUGUUCAAGAAUUUUCCGAAGGGCAAAACUCCUCUUGUGCUCUCUCUCUUCUGUCAGCCCACUCACAAAACCUUCUACACAAUUCAACAGAUGUUUCACCAACUCUACAUUUGACGGUUGAACCAAACCAUCAUGUCUACAUUAAAGGAGAUCAUCAUAAUCUUGAGAAAUCUCCCAGAGUUAGUGUUGCAAAUAGAUUGACACCAGUUGAGUUAUAUUCAUUUGACGUAGCCGAGCAAGAUGUGGUCGUUCAAGUUCCUGAUAGUGAUGCUGUUUCAUUUGGAAUUCAGAGAGAUCACGGCCAUGAUCGAAGAUCAAACUCUAUAAAUUCCAGGAACUGCCUUUCUCCGGAAUUUGGGCCUACCAUGGAUUUAGUGCAGUUGUCUUCGCACCUACAAAGGGUCGAGCAGCAGAAAAAUUCCGUCCAAGUGAAGCAGGAAAAUGAUAUCUUUUGUUCCUUUACUUCCACUUGAGGCUUAUAAGAGCUACAAGGUUUUCAUUUCUAGUAACUAGUGAAGAUUAAGGAUCAUUAUGAGCCUUGUCUGAAGGGUCAACAUCCGAAAUGAAGAAUCGGAAGAUUAUAUGAGGAGAUUAAACUAAUUCACAAGUGGCCUUUCCAACAAGUCAAAAGGCAAGGCAGAUUAAUAAAUGAUUGAUAUCAGUACAUCUUUUGUAAGUGUCAGCCAUAGCUUUUCUAUUGCUUUCUUUACAUCAAUUGUUUUGUUUCAAUAUAUCCAUUUCGUCGAAACAGUGCUCUUAUUAUUUUAAUAGUUAGUGUUGUCUUUAAGGAAUCUUGCAUCAUAUACUGAUGUAUAAGAAGAAAAUAGUAUCAGAAAUAUAACAUUUCUUGUGUGUAA